Molecule: ribosomal RNA, 421 nt
Filed under: uncultured eukaryote
Lineage: Eukaryota
Description: SSU rRNA
Rfam family: Eukaryotic small subunit ribosomal RNA
Source: RNAcentral
CAAUAGCGUAUAUUAAAGUUGUUGCGGUUAAAAGCUCGUAGUUGGAUUUCUGCCGAGGACGACCGGUCCGCCCUCUGGGUGAGCAUCUGGAUCGGCCUGGGCAUCCUCUUGGGGAACGUAGCUGCACUUGACUGUGUGGUGCGGUAUCCAGGACUUUUACUUUGAGGAAAUUAGAGUGUUUCAAGCAGGCUCACGCCUUGAAUACAUUAGCAUGGAAUAAUAAGAUAGGACCUCGGUUCUAUUUUGUUGGUUUCUAGAGCUGAGGUAAUGAUUAAUAGGGAUAGUUGGGGGCAUUCGUAUUUAACUGUCAGAGGUGAAAUUCUUGGAUUUAUGAAAGACGAACUUCUGCGAAAGCAUUUGCCAAGGAUGUUUUCAUUAAUCAAGAACGAAAGUUGGGGGCUCGAAGACGAUCAGAUACCAU